AUUAAUAAAUUAAUUUAUUAUAGCUUUUGCAUAAGAUUAAUCAUCAAUUGAAUUGAUGAUUAAAUCCUAGAAUGAUUCUUAAUCGUUGAUCAGCCACAUGAUCAGUUAAAAAAAUUUUUUGAGUGUAACUCAAUAAGUUCGAACCUAAAUUGAUAGUAUAGGAAUGAACUUUCUAUACCAAUCAAAGUGACCAUCUAGCAAUGAUACCCAACGUCCGGA
RNAcentral lists this long non-coding RNA (219 nucleotides) under Elaeis guineensis (African oil palm). RNAcentral's name for it is "long non-coding RNA (EGUI_LNC072178)". The record is from RNAcentral. Lineage: Eukaryota; Viridiplantae; Streptophyta; Magnoliopsida; Arecales; Arecaceae.